UCGAGGGGUAUAGUCUUCGGAUUUAGAGACCGGCGCACGGGUGCGUAACGCGUAUGCAAUCUACCUUUCACAGAGGGAUAGCCCAGAGAAAUUUGGAUUAAUACCUCAUAGUAUAGCUGAACCGCAUGGUUCUACUAUUAAAGUCACAACGGUGAAAGAUGAGCAUGCGUCCCAUUAGCUAGUUGGUAAGGUAACGGCUUACCAAGGCUACGAUGGGUAGGGGUCCUGAGAGGGAGAUCCCCCACACUGGUACUGAGACACGGACCAGACUCCUACGGGAGGCAGCAGUGAGGAAUAUUGGUCAAUGGACGCAAGUCUGAACCAGCCAUGCCGCGUGCAGGAUGGCGGUCCUAUGGAUUGUAAACUGCUUUUGCACAGGAAGAAACAACUCUACGUGUAGAGUCUUGACGGUACUGUGAGAAUAAGGAUCGGCUAACUCCGUGCCAGCAGCCGCGGUAAUACGGAGGAUCCAAGCGUUAUCCGGAAUCAUUGGGUUUAAAGGGUCCGUAGGCGGUUUAGUAAGUCAGUGGUGAAAGCCCAUCGCUCAACGGUGGAACGGCCAUUGAUACUGCUAGACUUGAAUUAUUAGGAAGUAACUAGAAUAUGUAGUGUAGCGGUGAAAUGCUUAGAGAUUACAUGGAAUACCAAUUGCGAAGGCAGGUUACUACUAAUGGAUUGACGCUGAUGGACGAAAGC
This 696-nucleotide ribosomal RNA is filed under the name uncultured Bacteroidota bacterium. RNAcentral describes it as "bacterial SSU rRNA". It matches the Rfam family "Bacterial small subunit ribosomal RNA", at positions 62 to 760 of the family's 1533-position model. Lineage: Bacteria; Pseudomonadati; Bacteroidota. The record is from RNAcentral.